RNAcentral lists this ribosomal RNA (253 nucleotides) under uncultured bacterium. RNAcentral's name for it is "partial 16S ribosomal RNA". It matches the Rfam family "Bacterial small subunit ribosomal RNA", at positions 524 to 776 of the family's 1533-position model. The record is from RNAcentral.
UACGUAGGGGGCAAGCGUUGUCCGGAAUCAUUGGGCGUAAAGAGCGCGUAGGCGGCCCAGUAAGUCCGCUCUGAAAGUCAGGGGCUCAACCCCUGGAUGCGGGUGGAUACUGCUGGGCUAGGGUCCGGAAGAGGUGAGUGGAAUUCCUGGUGUAGCGGUGAAAUGCGCAGAUAUCAGGAGGAACACCGGUGGCGAAGGCGGGUCUCUGGGCAGUAACUGACGCUGAGGAGCGAAAGCGUGGGGAGCGAACAGG